This is a long non-coding RNA of Panicum virgatum (switchgrass), 347 nucleotides long. RefSeq lists it as uncharacterized. The transcript is spliced from 2 exons. The record is from RefSeq and is a predicted model, not a curated record. Lineage: Eukaryota; Viridiplantae; Streptophyta; Magnoliopsida; Poales; Poaceae.
CGGCGGUAGUACUCCCCAAUGGAGAGGAAGCACCGCGCCGCCUGCCGAGUAGUCAGGAUCCGGCGCAUCUGAUGCAAUGUCUGCUGCCUGAGAUUGUCGGCCUGCAGUUGGAACAACACACAUGAAAAGAAAGGUUUAAGCUAGCUUUCUGACAAAAGGUUGGCCUGCCAUGGAGAAAGCAGGACAAGGCCCUGUAGCCUGUGGGACGACUGGACGAGGACCAGCUCCGUCGCUACUGUUACUGUGCAGUUCUGGCAGGGAAGGACUGCUGUACUUGAAAGUUUAUUAACCCAGCUUUUCCUCUUUGUAUUGAUUCUUGGGUUAAAAAUUGUUUACCGCGAUCAUCA